Molecule: ribosomal RNA, 492 nt
Filed under: uncultured bacterium
Lineage: Bacteria
Description: partial 16S ribosomal RNA
Rfam family: Bacterial small subunit ribosomal RNA
Source: RNAcentral
AGUGAACGCUGGCGGUAGACCUAACACAUGCAAGUCGAACGGCAGCACAGUAAGAGCUUGCUCUUACGGGUGGCGAGUGGCGGACGGGUGAGGAAUACAUCGGAAUCUACUUUUUCGUGGGGGAUAACGUAGGGAAACUUACGCUAAUACCGCAUACGACCUACGGGUGAAAGCAGGGGAUCUUCGGACCUUGCGCGAUUGAAUGAGCCGAUGUCGGAUUAGCUAGUUGGCGAGGUAAAGGCCCACCAAGGCGACGAUCCGUAGCUGGUCUGAGAGGAUGAUCAGCCACACUGGAACUGAGACACGGUCCAGACUCCUACGGGAGGCAGCAGUGGGGAAUAUUGGACAAUGGGCGCAAGCCUGAUCCAGCCAUACCGCGUGGGUGAAGAAGGCCUUCGGGUUGUAAAGCCCUUUUGUUGGGAAAGAAAAGCAGCAGGUUAAUACCCCGCUGUUCUGACGGUACCCAAAGAAUAAGCACCGGCUAACUUCGUG